UCCGGCUUGUCACCGGCAGUUCCUCCAGAGUGCCCGGCCGAGCCGAUGGCAACUGAAGGCAAGGGUUGCGCUCGUUGCGGGACUUAACCCAACAUCUCACGACGCGAGCUGACGACAGCCAUGCAGCACCUGUCUCCCAUCCAGCCGAACUGAAGGCCCACGUCUCCAUGGGCCGCAAUGGGGAUGUCAAGGGCUGGUAAGGUUCUGCGCGUUGCGUCGAAUUAAACCACAUGCUCCACCGCUUGUGCGGGCCCCCGUCAAUUCCUUUGAGUUUUAAUCUUGCGACCGUACUCCCCAGGCGGUGUGCUUAACGCGUUAGCUGCGCCACCGAGACACCAAGUGCCCCAACGGCUAGCACACAUCGUUUACGGCGUGGACUAC
RNAcentral lists this unclassified non-coding RNA (381 nucleotides) under uncultured Alphaproteobacteria bacterium. RNAcentral's name for it is "contains 16S-23S intergenic spacer region". Lineage: Bacteria; Pseudomonadati; Pseudomonadota; Alphaproteobacteria. The record is from RNAcentral.